This 468-nucleotide ribosomal RNA is filed under the name uncultured bacterium. RNAcentral's name for it is "partial 16S ribosomal RNA". It matches the Rfam family "Bacterial small subunit ribosomal RNA", at positions 28 to 507 of the family's 1533-position model. The record is from RNAcentral.
GACGAACGCUGGCGGCGUGCUUAACACAUGCAAGUCGAACGGAAAGGCCCUGCUUUUGUGGGGUGCUCGAGUGGCGAACGGGUGAGUAACACGUGAGUAACCUGCCCUUGACUUUGGGAUAACUUCAGGAAACUGGGGCUAAUACCGGAUAGGAGCUCCUGCUGCAUGGUGGGGGUUGGAAAGUUUCGGCGGUUGGGGAUGGACUCGCGGCUUAUCAGCUUGUUGGUGGGGUAGUGGCUUACCAAGGCUUUGACGGGUAGCCGGCCUGAGAGGGUGACCGGCCACAUGGGGACUGAGAUACGGCCCAGACUCCUACGGGAGGCAGAAGUGGGGAAUAUUGCACAAUGGGAGGAAGCCUGAUGCAGCAACGCCGCGUGCGGGAUGACGGCCUUUGGGUUGUAAACCGCUUUCGCCUGUGACGAAGCGUGAGUGACGGUAAUGGGUAAAGAAGCACCGGCUAACUACGUG